This 347-nucleotide long non-coding RNA is filed under the name Carica papaya (papaya). RNAcentral describes it as "long non-coding RNA (CPAP_LNC001736)". Lineage: Eukaryota; Viridiplantae; Streptophyta; Magnoliopsida; Brassicales; Caricaceae. The record is from RNAcentral.
UAGGACGAAGUAGGAUUUGCUAACACUGUGAUAAGGAUCAUGGGGAUCGACCCUCCUAUUAUCUCAAUAAUACUUGUUAUAUAUGUGGUAGUACCCAACAUUACGUGAGAGAGUGCCCGCGGAAUCAGAACUAAACCAGACAUCAUAUUCAGAGCAGAGCUUACAACCUAACUCAGCAGGAUGUUGAAGCCAAUACGGACGUGAUUCAAGGUACGUACACUAUCUGUAAUCACCUUACACAUGUUUAGAUUGAUACUGGUACUUCAAAUUCGUUUGUCUCACACACUUGUACACAAAACUUAAAUAUAUCAUCGGAAAGACUUGAUUUUAUGUUGUUUGUAUCUACU